CCUACGGGGGGCAGCAGUAGGGAAUAUUGCGCAAUGGGGGAAACCCUGACGCAGCAACGCCGCGUGAGUGAGGAAGGUCUUCGGAUUGUAAAACUCUUUUAUUUGGGAAAUGGUACCAAAGGAAUAAGCACCGGCUAACUUCGUGCCAGCAGCCGCGGAAAUACGAAGGGUGCAAGCGUUGUUCGGAAUCAUUGGGCGUAAAGCGCGCGCAGGCGGAUUGGUAAGUCAGAUGUGAAAUCUCGGGGCUCAACCUCGAAACGGCGUCUGAAACUGGAAGGCUAGAGUGUGGGAGGGGGUAGGGGAAUUUCACGUGUAGGGGUAAAAUGCGUAGAGAUGGGAAGGAACACCGGAGGCGAAGGCGCCUACCUGGACGACACUGACGCUGAGGCGCGAAAGCGUGGGGAGCAAACAGGAUUAGAUACCCGGGUAGUC
This 432-nucleotide ribosomal RNA is filed under the name uncultured bacterium. RNAcentral's name for it is "partial 16S ribosomal RNA". It matches the Rfam family "Bacterial small subunit ribosomal RNA", at positions 338 to 795 of the family's 1533-position model. The record is from RNAcentral.